UCUGCAUCUGCAGUAGGAGCAUUAGCAGCAGCACCUUUCGCUCUGGCAGCUGCAGGUUUCACCUCAGGUGGGAUAGCAGCAGGUUCCUUCGCUGCGAGCAUGAUGUCUUCAGCAGCAGCGGCCAACGGAGGCGGAGUGGCAGCAGGAAGCGUGGUGGCUGUUCUGCAAUCAGCAGGUGCUGCUGGUUUGUCAGGUGCCGCCAGUACAGCUGUAGCCUGUGCAGGAGCAGCAGCAGGGUGGGUGGCCAGCUUCUUCCGCUGAAAAUCACCUACAAAAUACUUAUUGUUUAUGUGUAGGGGAGUAUGUGCUAAUACUCCUGAAGCAUUAUGUUGCAUUAUGAUGUAAAUCAAAAAAGUUGCUUGAGUGGAAUUUGAAAUAAGACAAAGUUUUUCUCUAUCUCACAAAAUGUAAACAGUCUAUAAAAUGAAAGAGCAAUAAAAGUCUUAUUGAAAGUU
Molecule: long non-coding RNA, 455 nt
Organism: Poecilia reticulata (guppy)
Lineage: Eukaryota; Metazoa; Chordata; Actinopteri; Cyprinodontiformes; Poeciliidae
Source: RefSeq, a predicted model, not a curated record